GUUUCAAUGGCUGAAUGGUAUAAGAGCUUGCUUUGUAACCAAAAGGUCCUAGGUUCGAAUCCCAGUUGGUGCG
This 73-nucleotide transfer RNA is filed under the name Trichobilharzia regenti. It matches the Rfam family "tRNA". Rfam says of the family: Transfer RNA (tRNA) molecules are approximately 80 nucleotides in length. Lineage: Eukaryota; Metazoa; Platyhelminthes; Trematoda; Strigeidida; Schistosomatidae. The record is from Rfam by way of RNAcentral.